RNAcentral lists this non-coding RNA (211 nucleotides) under Sporosarcina newyorkensis. Its description in RNAcentral is "T-box sequence". It matches the Rfam family "T-box leader". Rfam says of the family: Uncharged tRNA acts as the effector for transcription antitermination of genes in the T-box leader family. Lineage: Bacteria; Bacillati; Bacillota; Bacilli; Caryophanales; Caryophanaceae. The record is from RNAcentral.
UAUAUCACGAUGAUAGGAAGCAGUAGCAACUAGGUUUUUUCAAAGAGAGCCAGCGGGUGGUGUGAGCUGGUAAAAACCGUUGUGAAUCCGUCCUGGAGUAGCAGAACUGAAGUCAGUAGGUUCUUGCCGGUCAGUUGAGCCGAUAUCUCAAACAAGUGGGCUGGGUAACCAGUCAAUUUGGGUGGCAACGCGGGUAGUUCUCGUCCCUUUU